UUCUAAAUGGGUCCUGUUAAGAAUGCCUUCGUUGUUUUGUCAUGCUUCAAGGCCCAGGAAAGGCCCGGGCAAAACUCUUGGUGGGCUUUUGUCCUAUUCCAGCCGUUGUAUAAGGGCACUGGCUUCUGAUGUUCAACUUCACCACCCAGUCAAUACUGAAACAGUUGCUACGGAGGCCUGCGUUAGUGAGACCUGGCCUGCCACACCCACACAUCUGAGGCCCCAGCGGGAGCUGAAACCUGACACAAAGACAGCAGGCCUUGGAGAGUGAGGGCCAGACACCUCCAUUUAAAACGCAGAAAGCGUUAUCCUGCAGAAACUUUGAAAGGCUUGAUGUAUUUGCUGAACUUUGGAAUGCUCACUGAGUUUAAAAUCACUAUUGUAUCAGUGUUGCUCGGCCCAAAACUAGCUAGGGCACUGAGGAGGAAAUAGUCUGGAUAGUCACAUAAUAAUACGGACUACUCUGGCCAGUCUAGAGCCCUGUGUGAAAGAUAAUAGCGGAAAUAAUUUCCUCAAGACACCAGAAGCUUCGGACAACUGCUUUUUACUGCGGGCUGUUUUUCCCCUUGUCAAUGCCAUUCCAAUUAUUUUGUUGGUGCGUGGAAGGAAAUUAGUUAAGUGACAUUUGAGUAUCAGAGCUUCUCCUUGGUACCUUGGGCCUCGUCUGCCUCUAGCCAGAACCCACAUACAACAAGGCUCCCCCGUGGCGUCUCGGCAGGGGAUCUGCCAGAGCAGCCCUGGA
Molecule: long non-coding RNA, 742 nt
Filed under: Homo sapiens (human)
Lineage: Eukaryota; Metazoa; Chordata; Mammalia; Primates; Hominidae
Description: HSALNT0355597
Source: RNAcentral